CCGUCCCAUCCCGCACCCCCGAUCCCUGCCCUCCAUCCCCCCCAUUACCCUCCCCUGUGCGUGUGGCCGUGCACUGAGCCCCCUUUGUUCCCUUAGGACAUGGAUGUUGCCGUCAUCACGUCGUGCCGACACUUCUUCCACGGCUCCUGCCUGCGCAAGUGGUUGUACGUGCAGGACUCGUGUCCCCUGUGCCACCAGCGGGUCACGCCAGAACCGGCACCGGCCCGGCAGGACGAGCCGGGAGAUGGAGGAGCCCCGGACCGGCCCCGGGAGGAGCCGCCGGGUGGAGCCGGCCGCGUGAACGAGGUCAGCGACCCCCGGCUCCGAGCUGAGUCCGACCCCAAAGAGCCGGGGGGAGGCGCCGCCCCGCAGCCCGACCCUCGUCCCACCGUCGCCCCCCACCGGGACCGGCCCCCCCAGCGUGACCCACCGGAGCCGCCGCCCCCCGCCCCCCCCACGGACCGUUCAGCCGGCAGGAUGGUGGGGCUGUGUCCCCCCCCGGUGCCGUGCAGGGGAUGUGGGGCGGAUCGAACCGAACCGAGCAGCACCGGGACUAAUUGCAAUAAAGCCGGAGUCGCAGCCGCUGCAGCCCAGCUCCGGUGCCGCCCGGUGACACCCCCACGGGGGGGGUGGGCAGGGGCCGAAUGCAGCCACCCCCCCCCGGAGCGCGGCCGGCCGGACUUACCCAGUACGGGGCACGGGAGGAGCGUGCCCCAUGGAUGGGAACGGGGUGGGGGCGGGUUGGAAUGGGGCGGGUGUGGGGCAGCCAUAGGAUGGCACGGGGCGGGUGUGGGGCAGCCAUGGGAUAGUAUGGGGCAGCUAUAGGAUGGCAUGGGGCGGGUGUGGGGCAGCCAUAGGGUGGCAUGGGGCGGGUGUGGGGCAGCCAUAGGGUGGCAUGGGGCGGGUGUGGGGCAGCCAUAGGGUGGCACGGGGUGGGUGUGGGGUUGCCAUAGGGUGGCAUGGGGCGGGUGUGGGGCAGCCAUAGGAUGGCAUGGGGCAGGUGUGGUGUUGCCAUAGGGUGGCUCACCCCCCCGCCGCUUUGGGGUCGGUGCCCGGCGGGGGGAUCCAUGAAGCGAUGGGGGUCCCGGCCGUGGGGCCCGGCCCCUGUGUGGGCACCCGGCCCAGCUGGGACCCCCUUCAUCUGCCCGGAACGGGGAGGAGGGUCCCCAGGGCCCGGACCCCCCCGCUGCAGCCCAGCCCCACCCGCACUUACCGCGUCCCAAUGGGGCCCUGCGGCCCAUUAGCGGCAGGGAGAGAAGCGCCGUGAGACGCGUCUGGGGGGGGCGAGCGGCAGGGAGACCCUGCAACCCCCCCCACAGCCCCCAACGCGCCGCUCCGUGACUGCAGGGAUGCGGGGGGGGCGGCCAUGGGGGGAGACGGG
RNAcentral lists this long non-coding RNA (1381 nucleotides) under Coturnix japonica (Japanese quail). RNAcentral describes it as "lncRNA (ENSCJPG00005006814.1)". Lineage: Eukaryota; Metazoa; Chordata; Aves; Galliformes; Phasianidae. The record is from RNAcentral.